GAUGAACGCUAGCGGCAGGCCUAACACAUGCAAGUCGAACGGUAACAUAGAAAGCUUGCUUUCUGAUGACGAGUGGCGCACGGGUGCGUAACGCGUAUGCAACUUACCCUUAACUGGAGAAUAGCCUUUCGAAAGGAAGAAUAAUACUCCAUAACAUUUCUUCGUGGCAUCACGAGGUUCUUAAAGCUUCGGCGGUUAAGGAUGGGCAUGCGUCCUAUUAGUUAGUUGGUGAGGUAAUGGCUCACCAAGACAGCGAUAGGUAGGGGGCCUGAGAGGGUUAUCCCCCACACUGGUACUGAGACACGGACCAG
This 311-nucleotide ribosomal RNA is filed under the name uncultured bacterium. RNAcentral describes it as "bacterial SSU rRNA". It matches the Rfam family "Bacterial small subunit ribosomal RNA", at positions 28 to 334 of the family's 1533-position model. The record is from RNAcentral.